This is a long non-coding RNA of Aquila chrysaetos chrysaetos, 519 nucleotides long. RefSeq lists it as uncharacterized. The transcript has 3 exons. NCBI's taxonomy places the organism in Eukaryota, Metazoa, Chordata, Aves, Accipitriformes, Accipitridae. The record is from RefSeq and is a predicted model, not a curated record.
AUUUCUUUUUUUGUAUGUAGACUGCACUUUUUUCAAGUAUUAAGCAUUUUUGUUUAUACUUUCAUGUGCCAAAGAAGGGAAGGAAAUUUCUACUUAACUUCUUGAGCUCUCUUGAUAAGGCCAAACUUGCAUGAAAAAAAUACUUUGUGCAAGUCAAACAGAAUUGCUUCAAGGCAGGAGGGAGGAAACACUUUAAAAUGUGCAAGGACAUGUAACGCUUCCCGACUGCAGAUCAAGGAAGUACAGUAACAUGCUGGGGAAAAGUCUCUUUUAUCUGAAGAACUGUGAAUGUAUGGGAUGCCAGCUUUUUCUUAAUGCGAUAUUAAGAUAAGCAGCAGCAGGGUGAACCUGUAAGGGAUGUCAUUUGAUUCCUCAAUUUACAUAUCUAGCAAAGUAUGACAUGCUAUGAAGAUCUCACCCAAAAGGUAUUCUUUGCUGGGCUUGCUUCUCCUCUCCCAUUUCAUCAUUUACUUCUGCUAGCAGCUUGCAAGUGUCUGUUUUCCCUGGGCAGUGUUUGCU